AGAACGAACGCUGGCGGCAUGCCUAACACAUGCAAGUCGAACGCUCACCGGGCUUCGGUUCGGUGGGAGUGGCGCACGGGUGAGUAGCGCGUGGGAACCUGCCCUGUUGUGGGGGAUAACCGAGGGAAACUUCGGCUAAUACCGCAUGCGCCCGGGGAAACCCGGGGAAAGAUUUAUCGCAGCAGGAGGGGCCCGCGUCGGAUUAGGUAGUUGGUAGGGUAACGGCCUACCAAGCCUUUGAUCCGUAGCUGGUCUGAGAGGAUGAUCAGCCACACUGGGACUGAGACACGGCCCAGACUCCUACGGGAGGCAGCAGUGGGGAAUAUUGGACAAUGGGCGCAAGCCUGAUCCAGCAAUGCCGCGUGAGUGAUGAAGGCCUUAGGGUUGUAAAGCUCUUUCAGUACCGACGAAGCGCAAGUGACGGUAGGUACAGAAGAGCACCGGCCAACUCGCGCCAGCAGCCGAC
RNAcentral lists this ribosomal RNA (466 nucleotides) under uncultured bacterium. RNAcentral describes it as "SSU rRNA". It matches the Rfam family "Bacterial small subunit ribosomal RNA", at positions 26 to 518 of the family's 1533-position model. The record is from RNAcentral.